CUCGAAAGAGCCAACCGGUACGACGACGCAGUCAGCCCAUCGCACACUACCCGUUUCCCCGCGGCCCGCGCCACGUCCCUUGACACCGCGUCAACGGCCGGUGGGUGAGCGCCCCGAUCCGACCGUCCACCGCGCUUAUCCGCAUACGCCCAGAUGCACCCACCUCGCGCGCCAUGAUUGGGCAGCCCGUCCCAUCGCCACCCAUCCCCGUACUCCCUACGCGGACACGUCGCGCGCCCGCACGCCGCCGGAGCCCACCACGUUCCGCUCAGUGGUCAGCCGGAACAAAAUCCCUACCCCGCACCACGCCACCCACCCCCGUAUCCCGCACCCCCACUGACACGCCACGCCCCACACCCUCGCCCGCACCCGAUUCCCACGAGGCCAAUCGGCGGGCGCGGCGGCCGAGAGAUCCCGAGCAGCGACAGGAGGCACGAGGCGUGGGAUCUGGCCGUGUGCGCGAGGCAAAGGUCAGUGGGAGCGCAGGCCUACUUUAUUACCCGGCGCGCACUAAUCCAGAUUUGGGGCCGUGGGUGUGUAGGUUUCGUCGCUGUGGGGCGACGUUUUAAAACGCACCGGCCGCAGAGGCCAACACCUGUCCUCCGCUACCACCCCUCUCGCCGUCGUGGUCGCGCCCGCGGCCAACGACCGCCUUCCACCUCGCCCACCUCCGAUCUCUAUCCCUCUGUCUCUCUAUGCGCGCGCGCCAAUCGCUCCUUGUAGCAGCAGCAGCAGCAGUGGAUCUGCUCUUGCUAAAUUUGGCACUGCCACCCAUACUUAAUCCAGCCCGGCCGCGCCGUCCGACCAGCUGGUUUAAAGCAGCUCGAGCGAGCUCGCUCGCUCCCCCUCGCCCGCCCGCUGCUCCCCAUCACGAGUACCACGGCUGCUGUGUCUGGCUGGAGCUCGCACACCUGUGAGGCUCUCACUCGAGGCGCUUUCUGAUUCGGUUCGGCUGAUUGGCGGGAUCGGGCAUGGAUUUUCCGGGAGGGAACGGGACGCCGCCGCCGCAGCAGCACCAGCUGCUGCCGCCGAUGACGCCGCUGCCGCUCACGCGCCAGGGCUCCUCGGUCUACUCGCUCACGUUCGACGAGUUCCAGAGCGCGAUCGGCGGGCCGGGCAAGGACUUCGGGUCCAUGAACAUGGACGAGCUCCUCCGCAACAUCUGGACCGCCGAGGAGUCGCAGGCCAUCGGCGCCGGCCCCAACGCCGCCUCCUCCUCCGCCGCGGCGGGGCCGGAUCACGGCGGCAUCCAGCGCCAGGGCUCGCUCACGCUGCCCAGGACGCUCAGCCAGAAGACCGUCGACGAGGUCUGGCGCGACAUGAUGUUCUUCGGAGGGCCCUCCGCCUCCGCAGCCGCCGAGGCUCCCCCGCCGGCCCAGAGGCAGCAGACGCUCGGGGAGGUCACGCUCGAGGAGUUCCUCGUGCGCGCCGGCGUCGUGCGCGAGGACAUGCCGGGGCCGCCGCCGCCCGUCUCGCCGGCCCCCGUGGCCCAGGCGCCGCCUCCGCAGCCGCAGAUGCUGUUCCCUCAGAGCAACAUGUUUGCUCCCAUGGUGAAUCCUCUGUCCUUGGCCAAUGGGUUGAUGACCGGAGCAUACGGCCAGGGAGGAGGUGGUGGUGCGGCCGCUAUGGUUUCGCCGUCGCCGACGGGGAGGCCGGUUAUGUCCAACGGCUACGGCAAGAUGGAAGGCCUCAACUUGUCCUCGCUGUCGCCGCCACCGAUGCCAUAUGUUUUUAACGGUGGGCUGAGGGGGAGGAAGCCACCGGCCAUGGAGAAGGUGGUCGAGAGGAGGCAGCGCCGGAUGAUCAAGAACCGGGAGUCUGCGGCGAGGUCGCGCCAGAGGAAACAGAGUUAUAUGAUGGAAUUGGAGACUGAGGUGGCAAAACUUAAAGAGCGGAAUGAGGAGUUGCAGAGAAAACAGGCGGAGAUCCUAGAGAGGCAAAAGAACGAGGUAUUCGAGAAGGUUACCCGGCAAGCUGGACCCACGUCGAAGAGGAUCUGCCUGCGGAGGACGCUGACGGGCCCUUGGUAAGCCGAAGGCCUGUAAACUAGAGCACGCUACUUUCGACGCUGCGCGGUUUAUAUACAUACAGCAGAUGAAUUUCAGAAUCGCCAGGAGUUGCGCUUGUAGAGCAGCCACUGAUCCGAUGCUUGAGAGUUGAGGCUCCUAGGCCGACAGACUGCCGGCGAUCUUCACUCGAUAGGUUUUAGCCGUCCGCGUGCCGUUCUGUGUGAGUAGAGAGCAUUUGUAUGUAAAAAUCUAUUUAACCAUGUGUUGGUGAGAUACUGCACUAGAACCACAUUUCUAUAUAUUUUUCUGUUUCGAGAGGCUCAUUACAACCAUGUUAGAAAUGAGUUUGUAUUCUUCAUAAAACGAUGCCCAGUCGGCUUGUAAAGCGGAACUAUUUGUGCAUCCGUAGAUGAUUUCCCUUUUUGUGAGAGUGAACUGAACUGAACUACUUUGCAGAGUAAAGAAGAUGUGUUGUCUGAUGGGCUAAUCAGACAUAGCAAAGCUUCUUGUAUCUGGUAAGCACAAACCGAACUAGUUUGAUUCUCUGUAGGCUGUGUUUCUGGCUCCAUUGCCAGUACCAUGUCAAUGGAGCCAUGUAUGUAAGCUUUGUACUGUAUACAUAAACCAUGGCGCUUGGUCAUGUGGAACCAGAACCAAAACGUCUGUAUGUAUAUUACGAGAACUUCCGG
RNAcentral lists this ribosomal RNA (2698 nucleotides) under Triticum aestivum (bread wheat). RNAcentral's name for it is "partial small subunit ribosomal RNA". Lineage: Eukaryota; Viridiplantae; Streptophyta; Magnoliopsida; Poales; Poaceae. The record is from RNAcentral.